This 279-nucleotide ribosomal RNA is filed under the name uncultured bacterium. RNAcentral's name for it is "partial 16S ribosomal RNA". It matches the Rfam family "Bacterial small subunit ribosomal RNA", at positions 506 to 784 of the family's 1533-position model. The record is from RNAcentral.
UGCCAGCAGCCGCGGUAAUACGUACCGGACAAACGUUAUUCGGAAUCACUGGGCUUAAAGAGUGCGUAGGCGGCCUUUCAGGUGGGGUGUGAAAGCCCACGGCUCAACCGUGGAACUGCGCUCCAAACCGUUAGGCUUGAGGGAGACAGGGGUAAGCGGAACUGAUGGUGGAGCGGUGAAAUGCGUUGAUAUCAUCAGGAACACCAAUCGCGAAGGCAGCUGGCUAGAUCUGUAUUGACGCUGAGGCACGAAAGCGUGGGGAGCGAACAGGAUUAGAUA